Long non-coding RNA from Papaver somniferum (opium poppy), 910 nucleotides. RefSeq lists it as uncharacterized. Lineage: Eukaryota; Viridiplantae; Streptophyta; Magnoliopsida; Ranunculales; Papaveraceae. The transcript is spliced from 4 exons. The record is from RefSeq and is a predicted model, not a curated record.
UUAUAUGCUAGAAAAGAAAAACUGGAGAAAAUUUAUUUCUGAGUUCUGGGGAAAAAAUCAAAAUCGGGAAGGAGAAAGAAGCCAUCUUUCUUACGAUGACUCGGAUCCCAUUGAAUUCGAGAGCUGAUUUUACCGCUUCAGUUCUUCUAUUUUGUUCAGUUUUCCUCUUCUUUACUUCAGGAAUUUCUUCGUCGGGGUUGUUACAUUAGAAUCAAUUCAAAUUUUUAGGAGCCAUGAAUUGUUAACGGCACCAACGGUCUAUUUUAGUUGUCAAGGACAAAACAAGACCCUUUUGCCUGACAUCAGGAAGAAAAACACCUUGUACACUUUCAAGGGUGAAGAAUCUUGGCAGCCAUUGGCCGAGUUUCUGACAAAGAAAUGUAAGCGUUGUGGUUUCUAUGAGAGGGAUGUCGUCCUCUCAGAUGACGUAUUUGAUGAAUGGGAGUUCUGUCCUUCUGAUUUUACGGCUCCCAAUGGCGAGUAUAUACGUUUCAAGGACAAGGAGUUCAAUGCUACAUUUUAUUGUCCAGACUGUGUUCCUCUGGGAAAGGGUUGGAACCAUACUUCUGGCUCAGAUAAUGGAGAGACCAAAGGAAAGGGACGGCAUUUAGCUUUAGUGAUUUUUGUCACCGCAGUAGCUUCAACUGGGUUCAUUAUUGGAGCAGUAGUCUCAUACCGUUACUGGCUCAGGAAGAAGAGAAUGGAGGAUCGAGCUCGUUUUCUAAAGCUGUUCGACGAUGUCGACGACAUUGAAGAUGAAAUGGAUCUUGGCUAAUUCAUUUGAUUAAAAACCAUUUUUCUCCAGUCAGAAUUUUAAAAAAAAAAAAGCAAUUGCUUUGUGUAUAAAUCCUGUUUCCACAUUUUGAUCCCGUGACUUUUAUGUAUAUAAAAGUUUGAUACUUUAACUGAA